This is a non-coding RNA of Pseudonaja textilis, 75 nucleotides long. The record is from RefSeq and is a predicted model, not a curated record. Lineage: Eukaryota; Metazoa; Chordata; Lepidosauria; Squamata; Elapidae.
ACAUAUGUGUCAUCAGAAUAACAGAAUAAAAGAAUUGGAAGGCAUCUUGGUGGUCUUUUAGUCUAACCUGCUGCU